AAUUCAAAGACAAAAAAAUAGAUGCUUCCAAAACUCUAAGAAACUAAAACUUAAAAUUCAAAGUGGAAAGGUGUUGCACAAUUUAUCUAAACAUGGACUAAUUGUAAAUAACAUCAGGGUAGAUGGUAUCAUGUGACCCAACCAUCGGAGCACCCCCUCUGAUCUUCACACCUUCACGGAGCCUGCGAGCUUCCACAAACCUAUUCCAACGCCGUCCUAUCUUGAAGUGUUCAUAAGGAAAAGUUGCAAAAGUUAGCUCACACACCCAUAAGUUACAGCAAUCGUCGAUAAUAUUCACAGUUGUCUUGUCUGUAUCAAGCAUCUGCGGAACAUUGCCGGUGUAAAGUAGAAUCUGCAAAAUUAAAAAUCCAAGUAACUUAUAUCAACUAAACGGAAAAGGAAUAAAAGAAGUUAAGGUGGACACGAAAAGUGUAUCAUACCAUGCAACCUUUAGUAACAUCAUACUCAGUUAAUUUUUUUUCGAAAUCAAGAACCAUGUCAGUGAUAUUGUGACGAUAAGCGAGAAGAGAUGUUAUUGGGGGGAGAUAGUCAUCGAAAGUUGCUUGCAAAUUCA
This 574-nucleotide long non-coding RNA is filed under the name Medicago truncatula (barrel medic). RNAcentral describes it as "long non-coding RNA (MTRU_LNC008441)". The record is from RNAcentral. Lineage: Eukaryota; Viridiplantae; Streptophyta; Magnoliopsida; Fabales; Fabaceae.